Molecule: ribosomal RNA, 305 nt
Filed under: uncultured bacterium
Lineage: Bacteria
Description: bacterial SSU rRNA
Rfam family: Bacterial small subunit ribosomal RNA
Source: RNAcentral
CAUCCUACGGGGGGCAGCAGUGAGGAAUAUUGGUCAAUGGUCGGGAGACUGAACCAGCCAAGCCGCGUGAGGGAUGAAGGUACAGAGUAUCGUAAACCUCUUUUGUCAGGGAACAAAGGCGGGGACGUGUCCCCGGAUGAGUGUACCUGAAGAAAAAGCAUCGGCUAACUCCGUGCCAGCAGCCGCGGUAAUACGGAGGAUGCGAGCGUUAUCCGGAUUUACUGGGUGUAAAGGGAGCGUAGACGGCUGUGCAAGUCAGAAGUGAAAGCCCGGGGCUCAACCCCGGGACUGCUUUUGAAACUGCG